RNAcentral lists this ribosomal RNA (164 nucleotides) under uncultured bacterium. RNAcentral's name for it is "partial 16S rRNA". It matches the Rfam family "Bacterial small subunit ribosomal RNA", at positions 355 to 511 of the family's 1533-position model. The record is from RNAcentral.
UAGGGAAUCUUCCACAAUGGACGAAAGUCUGAUGGAGCAACGCCGCGUGAGUGAAGAAGGGUUUCGGCUCGUAAAACUCUGUUGUUAAAGAAGAACAUAUCUGAGAGUAACUGUUCAGGUAUUGACGGUGUUUAACCAGAAAGCCACGGCUAACUACGUGCCAC